UUCAGAGGUCCCGAGCGUUGUUCGGAUUUACUGGGCGUAAAGGGAGCGUAGGCGGUUCGGUAUGUCGAAUGUGAAAGCCCACAACUCAACUGUGGAAAUGCAUUCGAAACUGCCGGGCUAGAGUACUGGAGAGGAGAGCGGAAUUCUUGGUGUAGCGGUGAAAUGCGUAGAUAUCAAGGGGAACACCGGUGGCGAAGGCGGCUCUCUGGACAGAUACUGACGCUGAGGCUCUAAAGUUAGGGGAGCAAACAGGAUUAGAUACCCCGGUAGU
Molecule: ribosomal RNA, 271 nt
Filed under: uncultured prokaryote
Description: partial 16S ribosomal RNA
Rfam family: Bacterial small subunit ribosomal RNA
Source: RNAcentral